Molecule: ribosomal RNA, 253 nt
Filed under: uncultured bacterium
Lineage: Bacteria
Description: partial 16S ribosomal RNA
Rfam family: Bacterial small subunit ribosomal RNA
Source: RNAcentral
UACGUAGGGACCGAGCGUUGUCCGGAUUCAUUGGGCGUAAAGAGCUCGUAGGCGGCCACUCAAGUCGAAUGUGAAACCUCGAGGCUCAACCUCGAGCCUGCAUUCGAUACUGGGCGGCUAGAGUCUGGUAGGGGGAUCUGGAAUUCCUGGUGUAGCGGUGGAAUGCGCAGAUAUCAGCAGGAACACCCGUGGCGAAGGCGGCUUCCUGGAUCACCCCUGACGCUGAGACGCGAAAGCGUGGGGAGCGAACGGG